Long non-coding RNA from Girardinichthys multiradiatus, 1336 nucleotides. RefSeq lists it as uncharacterized. The record is from RefSeq and is a predicted model, not a curated record. NCBI's taxonomy places the organism in Eukaryota, Metazoa, Chordata, Actinopteri, Cyprinodontiformes, Goodeidae. The transcript has 6 exons.
CGCAGUUCUUGUCGUCCAUAGCCAUUCGCAUGCAUUUUCAAUAGUACGGCAGUGAUAUCGUUGGCGAUCGGGUGGAACCGCGGGGAGUUACAGGUGAAGAGCGCACAGGUUGAGUCUCCAGACUCUCCACCUCAGUCUCUCUUUAACACGAUGAGCCAGCAAUCAGGUACGUUCUCCAGAAGAGGGAGGUAUCACUGCUUGGUCAGCUGACAGCUGCCGAAGCAAACUGGUGCUGAGAAACGCCGAACCUCUUAUUUUUAAUUAAGUGGAAUCUUAAUAAACCGAGUAGAUAUUUGAGUUCAACAAACCUACAUUCUACAUCCUAAAAACAUCCUAAAGUUUAUUGGGGGUCACAGGAAGCAUAUUAUUUACGUUUUUAUUCACAAUUUUUUUGCCACCAUUGUCCACCAUUACUGCCCGAGCUCGACCAAUCGAUUACACCUCCAAUGAAUCAUGGGAAAUUGUGGGUCACGGACUAUAAAACUUUGCUGUCGCACCGGGGCUGCUGCCGUAUUCCGAUCUAAUGGAAGUAACAAAAAUUACACUGUGAACACGAUGAAUGAUAAAACUGAAGUGGUAAAAAUGGAGCUGCCAAAAUCAAGGCACUGAAUGAAAACAGUCCAAACUAAACAAAGUCCUGUUGAACCCCACGUGGCUCUAGUUUGACUGCCAGUUCUUGAUGCUUACGCUCUGCAGGGAAAAGAAGCAUUAGCACCACGGCCUAGAAAGUGGCUGCUUAUAAGACCAGGGACUCAUGCAUGCCCUCCUCAGAGAUGCAAAGCCUCCCCUAAUCACAGGUCCAUCUUCAAUUACUCAAUGGACCACCCCUCCAGUUUCCAGAUGGUGCUGGAGUUUCUCAGGUGUGCUGGGUGACAGGGGCAACUGAUCUGAUGAUUGCAUUGGAGGAGUAUUUAAGCAGGAGGCUGCCAGCACUUCAAUGCCAGAUUGUUUGCCUUCUGCGGCAGAAACCUGAACCUUUUGAUCAUUCUUUGUUGAAUUUUAACUUCGGUUCCAGAGGUUUCUGGACGAUCAAGAUUACCUAUGUUUGGUGGAUUUCGUUUCCAAGUACCAAGCUGGCAGCUUCCUGUUAUCCUCUGUCUCCUGAACCAAGGCAGAAGCGUACCCUGUCCACCCUCCAAAGCAAGUACCUGAACAUUGAAUUAACUCCUGAACUCACCAGAACUCACUCUACAGCUCAAGUAAAAUCAUCUGGAUUUCUCUGCACACGUGGGUCCCGACUCCCACUACCCCUGGCGACCUGACUACAUUCACCUAUUGGUGAUUCUACCGUUCACGUUCCAGUUUCACUUCUUCUAAAUAAAAGGCCUUUUAUUGA